RNAcentral lists this ribosomal RNA (501 nucleotides) under uncultured bacterium. Its description in RNAcentral is "bacterial SSU rRNA". It matches the Rfam family "Bacterial small subunit ribosomal RNA", at positions 28 to 508 of the family's 1533-position model. The record is from RNAcentral.
GGCUAACGCUGGCGGCGUGUCUUAGCCAUGCAAGUCAAGCGGACUUAUGGGGUAACUUAUAAGUCAGCGGCGGACGGCGGAGUAACACGUAGCUAACCUACCCUCUGGACGGGGGAUAACCUACCGAAAGGUGGGCUAAUACCCGAUGUAGUCAUCCUGUAUAGGGGUGAUGAAAGGUGGGCUUCUGUUUACAAGCUCAUGCUGGAGGAGGGGGCUGCGGCCUAUCAGGUAGUUGGUAGGGUAAUAGCCUACCAAGCCGAUGACGGGUAGCCGGCCUGAGAGGGUGACCGGCCCGAGGGGCACUGAGAUACGGGUCCCACUCCUACGGGAGGCAGCAGGCUAGAAAUUUGGGCAAUGGGGGAAACCCUGACCCAGUGACGCCGCGUGCAGGAAGGAGCCCUUCGGGGUGGUAAACUGCUGUCGUGUAGGGAGAAGGGUACUAAGGUGAACAAUCUUAGUACUUGACGGUACUACAGGAGGAAGCCCAGGCUAACCUCGUGC